AAGGUUCGACUCGAGCGUAGCGAGAGAACGUUGCCGCAGGCAACGGCCCGAAGGGCGAGGCGCUUUAGCGACGAGUUAUCCUUCCCCCACCACCA
Molecule: small RNA, 95 nt
Filed under: Klebsiella quasivariicola
Lineage: Bacteria; Pseudomonadati; Pseudomonadota; Gammaproteobacteria; Enterobacterales; Enterobacteriaceae
Description: partial RtT sRNA
Rfam family: RtT RNA
About the family: This family represents a bacterial cis-regulatory element known as RtT RNA. The exact function of RtT is unknown although it is thought that it may be involved in changing the cellular response in relation to amino acid starvation.
Source: RNAcentral